Molecule: long non-coding RNA, 507 nt
Organism: Bos taurus (domestic cattle)
Lineage: Eukaryota; Metazoa; Chordata; Mammalia; Artiodactyla; Bovidae
Source: Ensembl
GGGCAGGGUCUCCCACAGUGACGCCAGUGUCAAUCAGGCAGGAAGAAAAGGAUUCUGGGACAGGAAGUGGAGUGGAAGGCGGGCCUUGACCUGCCUGCUUCUCACUGUCUCCAGCUUUGCUGUUAUUCAUCUGCCCUGUUUUGCUCUGAGCAGUGCUGGUGACCUGGCAGAUGGGGUCUUCGGAGGCCCGGGGGGCUGAGCUGCUGUUCACGCGGUGACCACAGAACCUCAGUUUCCUCAUCUGGAACAUGGGGAGGAUGCCCCCCUCAUGGUGUUGUCGGUGACAAUUCAGUGAGAUACCGCAUAACCCCUGGAAAGGGAUCAGUCAGCGUUUUGGCGGAUGAAAAUGAACAAAUGAAUGACGGAGGAAGCGGUUUGUUCUGCCUUAAAUUUGGAAUUUAUCCUCCCGCCUCCCAGCCUCUUGCUCUAUUAAGUGUGCAGCAGCUAUAGACAGACGUUUCCUGAGCGAAAAGUCAGUGGUUGAAAUGAGAAUGUCAACCCAAAUAC